RNAcentral lists this ribosomal RNA (254 nucleotides) under uncultured bacterium. RNAcentral's name for it is "partial 16S ribosomal RNA". It matches the Rfam family "Bacterial small subunit ribosomal RNA", at positions 524 to 776 of the family's 1533-position model. The record is from RNAcentral.
UACAGAGGGUGCGAGCGUUGUCCGGAAUCACUGGGCGUAAAGGGCGCGUAGGUGGUGGCUUAAGCGUGCGGUGAAAGCUCGGAGCUCAGCUCCGAGUCGGCCGUGCGAACUGGGCUCACUGGAGCAUAGUAGAGGCAGGUGGAAUUCCGGGUGUAGCGGUGGAAUGCGUAGAGAUCCGGAAGAACACCGGUGGCGAAGGCGGCCUGCUGGGCUAUGGCUGACACUGAGGCGCGACAGCGUGGGGAGCAAACAGG